RNAcentral lists this ribosomal RNA (497 nucleotides) under uncultured bacterium. RNAcentral's name for it is "partial 16S ribosomal RNA". It matches the Rfam family "Bacterial small subunit ribosomal RNA", at positions 27 to 507 of the family's 1533-position model. The record is from RNAcentral.
GGGGGGGGGGGGGGGGGGGGCGGGGGCGGGCAGGGCGAGCGAGCGGACGAGGAGCUUGCUCCUCUGACGGUAGCGGCGGACGGGUGAGUAACACGUGGAUGACCUGCCUAUAAGACUGGGAUAACUUCGGGAAACCGGAGCUAAUACCGGGGAAUAUAUUAACCCGCAUGGUUCAAUAGUGAAAGACGGUGUUGCUGUCACUUGUAGAUGUGUCCGAUCCGCAUUAGCUAGUUGGUAAGGUCACUGCUUACCAAGGCAACGAUGCGUAGCCGACCUGAGAGGGUGAUCGGCCACACUGGAACUGAGACACGGUCCAGACUCCUACGGGAGGCAGCAGUAGGGAAUCUUCCGCAAUGGGCGAAAGCCUGACGGAGCAACGCCGCGUGAGUGAUGAAGGUCUUCGGAUCGUAAAACUCUGUUAUUAGGGAAGAACAAAUGUGUAAGUAACUAUGCACGUCUUGACGGUACCUAAUCAGAAAGCCACGGCUAACUACGUG